GUCGACGCGCUGCCGCUCCUGAUCCUUGUUCUGGCAGUUGCGCACGUCACUGAUGAAGACGGACAGCCCUCGCAUACCCGACAGCGCCAUGUCCGCCGCCCCCGCCGCCGACCGCGACGGAUGACGGGAUCACAGAUCGGGAAGCUCAGAUCCGGUGAUCCCUCAGGGAGAUCUGCACCGCCGCCACAAAGGCGAAAACCCUAGGACGGAGAGGCCGUGGGAGGAGGAGGAGCUGGUGGCGGCAGAUCGGGAAUCCGUCGGGUUGUUG
RNAcentral lists this unclassified non-coding RNA (268 nucleotides) under Hevea brasiliensis (rubber tree). The record is from RNAcentral. Lineage: Eukaryota; Viridiplantae; Streptophyta; Magnoliopsida; Malpighiales; Euphorbiaceae.